RNAcentral lists this ribosomal RNA (256 nucleotides) under uncultured bacterium. RNAcentral's name for it is "partial 16S ribosomal RNA". It matches the Rfam family "Bacterial small subunit ribosomal RNA", at positions 524 to 776 of the family's 1533-position model. The record is from RNAcentral.
UACGAAGGGGGGCUAGCGUUGCUCGGAAUCACUGGGCGUAAAGGGGUGCGUAGGCAGGGUUUUUAAGUCAGGGGUGAAAUCCCGAGGCUCAACCUCGGAACUGCCUUUGAUACUGGGGAUCUCGAGUCGGGAGAGGUGAGUGGAACUCCGAGUGUAGAGGUGAAAUUCGUAGAUAUUCGGAGAACACCAGUGGCGAAAGGCGCUCACUGGCCCGGUUACUGACGCUGAGGUGCGAAAGCGUGGGGGAGCAAACAGG